AGGCAUGCAAGUCGGGGGAUCUCCCGCAAGGGGGGGAACCGGCGUAAGGGGCAGUAAGGCGUGGGGACCUACCCCGGGGUCCGGCAUAGCCGUCCGAGAGGGCGGGUAAUUCCGGAUGACCUCGGAAGAGCAAAGAUUCAUCGCCCCGGGAGGGGCCCACGUGAUAUUACCUAGUUGGCGGGGUAGCGGCCCACCAAGGGGACGAUGUCUAGCGGGUGUGAGAGCACGACCCGCGCCACUGGCACUGAGACACUGGCCAGACACCUACGGGUGGCUGCAGUCGAGGAUCUUCGGCAAUGGGCGCAAGCCUGACCGAGCGACGCCGCGUGUGCGAUGAAGGCCUUCGGGUUGUAAAGCACUGUCGAGGGGGAGAAGCGCCCGAAAGGGCUUGAUCUAUCCCUGGAGGAAGCACGGGCUAAGUUCGUGCCAGCAGCCGCGGUAAGACGAACCGUGCGAACGUUGUUCGGAAUCACUGGGCUUAAAGGGCGCGUAGGCGGGCCUCCAAGUCCGGGGUGAAAUCCUCCCGCCCAACGGGAGAAGAGCCUCGGAGACUGGGGGCCUCGAGGGAGGUAGGGGCAAGCGGAACUGUGGGUGGAGCGGUGAAAUGCAUUGAGAUCCACAGGAACUCCGGUGGCGAAGGCGGCUUGCUGGACCUCUUCUGACGCUGAGGCGCGAAAGCCAGGGGAGCGAACGGGAUUAGAUACCCCGGUAGUCCUGGCCCUAAACGUUGGGGACUAGGUAGUAGGCCGGACAUGGGCUUACUGCCGGAGCGAAAGUGCUAAGUCCCCCGCCUGGGGAGUAUGGUCGCAAGGCUGAAACUCAAAGGAAUUGACGGGGGCUCACACAAGCGGUGGAGCAUGUGGCUCAAUUCGAGGCUACGCGAAGAACCUUAUCCCGGGCUUGACAUGUGCGAAAGCGCCAGCAG
RNAcentral lists this ribosomal RNA (925 nucleotides) under uncultured bacterium. Its description in RNAcentral is "bacterial SSU rRNA". It matches the Rfam family "Bacterial small subunit ribosomal RNA", at positions 51 to 1005 of the family's 1533-position model. The record is from RNAcentral.